This 443-nucleotide ribosomal RNA is filed under the name uncultured bacterium. RNAcentral's name for it is "partial 16S ribosomal RNA". It matches the Rfam family "Bacterial small subunit ribosomal RNA", at positions 338 to 795 of the family's 1533-position model. The record is from RNAcentral.
CCUACGGGAGGCAGCAGUGGGGAAUAUUGGGCAAUGGAGGAAACUCUGACCCAGCAACGCCGCGUGAAUGAUGAAGGUCUUCGGAUUGUAAAGCUCUUUUCUAAGGGAAGAAGAAAGUGACGGUACUUCUGGAAUAAGCCUCGGCUAUCCAUGUGCGAGCAGCCGCGGUAAGCCGGAGGAGGCGAGCGUUAUGCGGAAGUACUGGGUGUAAAGGGUGCGUAGGUGGUUUGGCAAGUUGGUAGCGUAACUACGGGGCUCAACCCCGGCACUACUACCAAAACCGUCGGGCUUGAGUGCAGGAGAGGCAGGUGGAAUGCCUGGUGUAGCGGUGAAAUGCGUAGAUAUUAGGAAGAACACCGGUGGCGAAGGCGGUUUGCUGAACUGUGACUGACGCUGAGGCACGAAAGCGUGGGGAGCAAACAGGAUUAGAUACCCGUGUAGUC